Molecule: unclassified non-coding RNA, 297 nt
Filed under: Hevea brasiliensis (rubber tree)
Lineage: Eukaryota; Viridiplantae; Streptophyta; Magnoliopsida; Malpighiales; Euphorbiaceae
Source: RNAcentral
AAUAUUACAUUCAGUGCCAAGAGUUUACACCUCAAUCUAAUAAAUAUAACACGUAACAACAUUUUAUAAAUAGCUGUAAUAUUAGAAUUACCAAUUUUAGGAAAACAUUAUCAUGCAUAUUUUCCCUCAUAACGCAAUGGAAAUUUCAGACAUUGCAAAACGCCAUAUAAAUUCUAAAAUCAAAAUUUGAUUUCAAGAUAACUGUAAAAACUUCUACCAAUUAACUACCUAGCAAGGAGGUUAAAAUCAUAAUAAAAUUAAGCAAUACUACUUUUGUAUGCUAGACCAGAAGGGCAU